Molecule: ribosomal RNA, 255 nt
Filed under: uncultured bacterium
Lineage: Bacteria
Description: partial 16S ribosomal RNA
Rfam family: Bacterial small subunit ribosomal RNA
Source: RNAcentral
UACGGGAAGGGCAAGCGUUAUCCGGCGUGACUGGGCGUAAAGAGUCCGUAGACGGUAAAGUAAGUUUAUUGUUAAAUUUUAAAACUUAAUUUUAAGAAAGCAAUAAAUACUGCUUUACUUUGAGUUUAAUAUAGAAAAGUGGAAUUUUAUAUGGUAGGGGUGAAAUGCGCAGAUAUCAGGAGGAACACCGGUGGCGAAGGCGGGUCUCUGGGCAACAACUGACGCUGAGGAGCGAAAGCGUGGGGAGCAAACAGG